Rhinopithecus roxellana (golden snub-nosed monkey) is the source of this 3197-nucleotide RNA transcript. It is a transcript of the gene named katanin catalytic subunit A1 like 2, with no coding region annotated. NCBI's taxonomy places the organism in Eukaryota, Metazoa, Chordata, Mammalia, Primates, Cercopithecidae. The transcript is spliced from 15 exons. The record is from RefSeq and is a predicted model, not a curated record.
GAUGAGGACAGAAGCACGACGAAAAAAUCUUCUCAUUUUGAUUUCACAUUAUUUAACACAAGAAGGAUAUAUCGAUACAGCAAAUGCUUUGGAGCAAGAAACUAAACUGGGGUUGCGACGCUUUGAAGUUUGUGACAACAUUGAUCUUGAAACUAUUUUGAAGGAAUAUGAGAGUUACUAUUUUGUAAAAUUUCAGAAAUACCCCAAAAUUGUCAAAAAGUCAUCAGACACAGAAAAUAAUUUACCACAAAGAAGUGGAGGGAAGACCAGAAGGGUGAUGAACGACAGUUGCCAAAAUCUUCCCAAGAUUAAUCAGCAGAGGCCCUGGUCCAAAACCACGGUGGGGAAGACAGGGGACACCAAAUCUCUCAAUAAGGAGCAUCCUAAUCAGGAGGUAGUUAAUAACACUCGCCUGGAGAGUGCCAACUUCGGCCUAAAUAUAUCAAGAAUCAGUAAAGACAGUGGAGAGGAAAAUGCCCACCCACAAAGAGGCCAAAUCAUUGACUUCCGAGGGCUGCUCACAGAUGCCAUCAAGGGAGCGACCAGUGAACUUGCCUUGAACACCUUCGACCAUAAUCCAGACCCCUCAGAACGACUGCUGAAACCUCUGAGUGCAUUUAUUGGCAUGAACAGUGAGAUGCGAGAAUUGGCAGCGGUGGUGAGCCGGUAUCCACAGCUAUUUACAGGAAUUCUUUCCCCCUGGAAAGGACUACUGCUGUACGGCCCUCCAGGUACAGGAAAGACUUUACUGGCCAAAGCUGUGGCCACUGAAUGUAAAACAACCUUCUUUAACAUUUCUGCAUCCACCAUUGUCAGCAAAUGGAGAGGGGAUUCAGAAAAACUCAUUCGGGUGUUAUUUGAACUUGCCCGCUACCACGCCCCAUCCACGAUCUUCCUGGACGAGCUGGAGUCGGUGAUGAGUCAGAGAGGCACAGCUCCUGGGGGAGAACAUGAAGGAAGCUUGCGGAUGAAGACAGAGUUACUGGUGCAGAUGGAUGGGCUGGCACGCUCAGAAGAUCUUGUGUUUGUCUUAGCAGCUUCUAACCUGCCGUGUUUGAAAGCCAUUGCACUCCAGCCUGGCGACAGAGCGAGACUCCGUCUAAAAAAAAAUAAUAAUAAAAAUAAAAAAAGAAGUGUAUUAGUCCAUUUUCAUGCUGCUGGUGAAGACAUACCCAAGACUGGGAAGAAAAAAAUUAAUUGGACUUACAGUUUCACAUGGAUGGGAAGCCUCAGAAUCACGGCAGGGGGCAAAAGGCACUUCUUACAUGGUGGCAGCAAGAAAAAAUGAGGAAGAUGCAAACAGCGGAACCCCCUGAUAAAACCAUCAGAUCUCGUGAGACUUAUUCACUACCAUGAGAAGAGCAUGCAUGGGGGAAAUUGCCCCCAUGAUUCAAAUUAUCUCCCACUGGGUCCCUCCCACAACAUGUGAGAACUAUGCAAUUACAAUUUAAGAUGAGAUUUGGGUGGGGACACAGAGCCAAACCAUAUCAAGAAGUUUAAGGAUAUGGCCUGCAGAUGCAAAAUCACAUAAACUUGGCCUGACAGUUUGGGGAGUAGUAAAAGGAGCUGGACUGUGCCAUGUUGCGCCGCCUGGAGAAGAGGAUUCUGGUUGAUCUCCCCAGCCAGGAGGCCAGGCAGGCCAUGAUCUACCACUGGCUGCCUCCUGUGAGCAAGAGCAGGGCCUUGGAGCUGCGCACAGAGCUGGAGUACAGUGUGCUGAGCCAGGAGACUGAGGGCUACUCAGGCUCAGACAUUAAGCUCGUCUGCAGGGAAGCAGCCAUGCGGCCUGUGAGGAAGAUCUUUGAUGCACUUGAAAAUCACCAGUCAGAAAGCAGCGACUUACCGGGGAUCCAGUUGGAUACAAUAACCACUGCCGACUUUCUGGAUGUGCUAACUCACACCAAGCCCUCCGCAAAGAAUCUGGCUCCGAGAUACUCAGCCUGGCAAAGAGAAUUCGAGUCUGUUUGAAACCACAUUUACCCUGACCCGGCCACAAAGGUCUCCUAAUUUAUUAGUGUCCGUGGGAGAAGAACAAAAUGAUUGGAAUGGAAAAGAGAAAAUUAUUCUUGAAGACUGAAUUAACUUGAGCCACUGUAUUGUUUGGAUAGCUGAGAUAUAUUUAUUAACUUAUCAUUACUGAUGUCAGCAAAAUACUGAGGGUUUCAGUUACAUACAUAUAUGUGCUAAUAGGUCAUACAAUGGAGAUUUUUCUGACAAUUAGACUCCAUAAAAUUUUAAUGAACAAUUUUCUGUAAUGUUACUCAUUUGUAAACUUUUGCAGAAAAAGAUGUGCUUAGAAACGUUGUGUUGGCCAGGCACAGGAUGACCCUGAGUUGGGGCAGCCAAGCAGAAGCUAAGCUUGACAGGCACUGCCAAGCGGACAGUCCCAGGGUGAAGAAGGAUGAGGGCAGGGACUGCAAUGCAGUCUGUUUCUCAUUCUGGACAAUAUUCUGUAUCUCAUCAGCUCUCCCUAAUUCUGACUCCAUCCAGCUUUGUCAGCAGCAAACCCCUCCCAAACUAAGCCCCACUCAGAAAUGUCACUGAGCAUUCUGAUCCUAGAGCUAAUAGCCGGAGUGACUAGCACACCAUCACCAUCAGCUGCCAGUAUGACUGUUUUGGGUUCUGGCCCCCAGUAACAUCUUUUAACUCUUCACAUCUCACAUCCGCUGUGCUCUGCCCUUCUCUUUCCAUUGCCACAGCUUCUCAUCAGAACCAAAGCUUAGGAUGGGGCACCUGAGCUUCGAGAAUAUUCGUUCCAAGUCUUCCCUGCUCUUAGGCUCUUCCCCCUCUCCUUAAGGGGCUAUAAAUAGCUAGAAGCAUCUCUCUCAGAAACUCACAAUCCGAGGCAUCUACUUUGAACCCUUGAUAAAUUUUGAAGGCUUCCACUAAGUAAUGCGACUUCUUUUCCCCUACUAGAACUUACCUAUGGGAAAUCACCUUCUUUUCUCUUCCUUGCCUUGUUUUCAUCAUCCCUGCAGACAGACUCUUCAAGAGGAAAAACUUCCAAAAAGAGACACUUUGGAUAGCUAAGUAUCCCAAAGGAUUUUUACCCUUUUAAACAAAACUAAAGCAUGUUUUGGGGUAUUGAUUAUUUUGAGAUUAUUCUCAAACGCCUCUUUAAACAUCAUUUCAUGGAAAAUGUCAAAUUGAAAAUAUACCUUAUUUAACAAAUUGAAAAUAAAAAAGAUUUCAUCUCA